This 461-nucleotide ribosomal RNA is filed under the name uncultured bacterium. RNAcentral's name for it is "partial 16S ribosomal RNA". It matches the Rfam family "Bacterial small subunit ribosomal RNA", at positions 338 to 795 of the family's 1533-position model. The record is from RNAcentral.
CCUACGGGAGGCAGCAGUGAGGAAUAUUGGUCAAUGGGCGGGAGCCUGAACCAGCCAAGUCGCGUGAGGGAAUACGGUCCUAUGGAUUGUAAACCUCUUUAGGCGGGGAGCAAUGCCGGGCACGUGUGCCCGGAGGGAGAGUACCCGCAGAAUAAGCAUCGGCUAACUCCGUGCCAGCAGCCGCGGUAAUACGGAGGGGGCGAGCGUUAUCCGGAUUUACUGGGUGUAAAGGGUGCGUAGACGGCAAGGCAAGCCAGAAGUGAAAGGGCAGGGCUCAACCCUGUACGUGCCGUUGGAACUGGGGUGCUAGAGUGCAGGAGAGGUAAGUGGAAUGCGUGGUGUAGCGGUGAAAUGCGUAGAUAUUAGGAAGAACCCCAGUGGCGAAGGCAGCUUACUGGACUGUAACUGACGUUGAGGCUCGAAAGCGCGGGGAUCAAACAGGAUUAGAUACCCCUGUAGUC